GACGAACGCUGGCGGCGUGCUUAACACAUGCAAGUCGUACGGUAAGGCCCUUUCGGGGGUCCACGAGUGGCGAACGGGUGCGUAACACGUGAGUAACCUGCCCACAACUUUGGGAUAACGCUAGGUAACUGGUGCUAAUACUGGAUAUGUGCUCCUGCUGCAUGGUGGGGGUUGGAAAGCUCCGGCGGUUGUGGAUGGACUCGCGGCCUAUCAGCUUGUUGGUGGGGUAGUGGCCUACCAAGGCGGCGACGGGUAGCCGGCCUGAGAGGGUGACCGGCCACACUGGGACUGAGAGACGGCCCAGACUCCUACGGGAGGCAGCAGGGGGGAAUAUUGCACAAUGGGCGCCAGCCUGAUGCAGCAACGCCGCGUGCGGGAUGACGGCCUUCGGGUUGUAAACCGCUUUCAGCAGGGACGAAGCUUUUUGUGACGGUACCUGCAGAAGAAGCACCGGCUAACUACGUG
This 465-nucleotide ribosomal RNA is filed under the name uncultured bacterium. RNAcentral's name for it is "partial 16S ribosomal RNA". It matches the Rfam family "Bacterial small subunit ribosomal RNA", at positions 28 to 507 of the family's 1533-position model. The record is from RNAcentral.